This 211-nucleotide unclassified non-coding RNA is filed under the name fungal sp. RNAcentral describes it as "partial internal transcribed spacer region". The stretch from base 1 to 46 matches the Rfam family "Eukaryotic small subunit ribosomal RNA", at positions 1786 to 1831 of the family's 1831-position model. Lineage: Eukaryota; Fungi. The record is from RNAcentral.
AAGUCGUAACAAGGUUUCCGUAGGUGAACCUGCGGAAGGAUCAUUAACACUUUUUGAUUGUUUUAUCCUUUUGGUGUGAGAAUUCUUGAUGUGUGAAGGCGGUCUUUUUGGACUUGCCUCUUUCAUUUUACUAAACCCAACAACAUAAAGACAAACAUGCCAAAAUAUCAAUAACGCUGAACAACUCUUAGCAACGGAUAUCUUGGCUCUC